CCUCCUAGCGCGCCGAUUGGGCGCGGGUGGGUGCGAGGCCCGGGCCGGGAGCCCAGCCUCCAACCCCCGAGAGGCUCCCCUUACUCCCGCCAGCUUACGGAGGGGAAAACUGAGGCGCACUGCAGGUUGCCAUGUUGUGAGCUGCCACGUUGGAGGGGCCCACGUGGAAAGGAACUGAAUGCUGCCAACGUGUACUGAGGGAGCUUGGAAGCUGGAUCCUUGCCCAGUCAUGCCUGCAGAUGGUUAUGUAUUCACCAAGGCCACCUGCCCACUGAGACCCAGGAUAAUACGGGCCAAAGGUGGCCCAUCAGCUCGGAAACCUGUCAUUCUGCGCAUGCCUGACAGACCACGGGGAUGGGAAGGAGUCAAGCGGACCCUGGUGGAAACCCACAGAUGUUUGCAGUUGAUGACAGACAUGUCAACAGAUGGAAUUAAAGAAUUUGCCAGCAGCUGUUGCCUGUUUACCAAAACUCCCUCAGUGAAGCUCACCUUCAGCUCAUGGAGGCGGCUGCUUGGGCCCCAAGUCAAGGAUGCCUGGCUCUGAUGGCCACUCACCUGCUGUGUGGCCCAGGGAAAGUCCCUUGGCCUCUCUGAGCUUCAGAUUCUGCAUGUGUGAAAGGGAGGUGGUAAUGCCUCCCUCCUAGGAUGGUGCCGAGGAUUCAAGAUGAUAACGUCUAGAGCCCUUGGCGUCGGGUCAGCACCAGGUAGAUGCCCAGUCUGUGGCAGCUGUUCUGAUUCUUUAACCUGUCUCGGCCUCCGUUUCCCCAUCUGUAAUCGGACAGGGUCUAUCUAGAUCAGUGGUUCUCAACGGGUGGGGGUGGUGAUUGUAACCCCGAAGACUUGGAUGGCUGUUGCCGCUGCAGGGUGGGGAGCGCUGCCGUUAUCUACUGGGUAGAAUGCAGAGGUGCUGCUGACACCCGACAGUGCAUGGGACAGCCCUCCCCAGCAGAGGGUUCUCCAGCCCCAGAUGUCACUAUGGCUGAUACCGAGAAACCCUGGACUAAGCUCAUCUCUACGUUUCCCUCCAGCUGUAGAAGAUGUUUGGGUUUGAUCUGCAUUGCCUCGUGCUGGGAAGGGGUCUGGGGUGUGCAGUCUUUUAACCUGGACUUGGCCUCAUAGAAUGGCCUUGGGCCUAGAACACUUCCUUACCAGGAACUAAAGAGACCCCUCAGCCUCAUCGCCUCGUGUGAGGAUGUCGUUCCUGUUUCAGACCCAGUGUGUGCCCCUUUGCCCUGCUUAAGUGUGCGUGUGCGUCACGUGGCACCUGGCCAACCCCACUGCUGUACCUGUCCGCUGUGGGGAGGGAAUGGGGUCCUUUGUUCUGCCACAGAGGAGGGGUGCGUGCAUCGGUUGCCAGGAGGGACCCGCUACUAUGGGGGGCCGUAUAUAUUUAUCGUUA
Molecule: long non-coding RNA, 1399 nt
Organism: Balaenoptera ricei (Rice's whale)
Lineage: Eukaryota; Metazoa; Chordata; Mammalia; Artiodactyla; Balaenopteridae
Exons: 3
Source: RefSeq, a predicted model, not a curated record